This 253-nucleotide ribosomal RNA is filed under the name uncultured bacterium. Its description in RNAcentral is "partial 16S ribosomal RNA". It matches the Rfam family "Bacterial small subunit ribosomal RNA", at positions 524 to 776 of the family's 1533-position model. The record is from RNAcentral.
UACGUAGGUGACCAGCGUUGUCCGGAUUUACUGGGCGUAAAGAGCGCGCAGGCGGUCGUUCAAGUCGAGUGUGAAAGCCCCCGGCUCAACUGGGGAGGGUCACUCGAUACUGAUCGACUUGAAGGCAGGAGAGGGAAGCGGAAUUCCCGGUGUAGUGGUGAAAUGCGUAGAUAUCGGGAGGAACACCAGUGGCGAAGGCGGCUUCCUGGCCUGUUCUUGACGCUGAGGCGCGAAAGCUAGGGUAGCAAACGGG